GGGAAUCUUGCGCAAUGGGCGAAAGCCUGACGCAGCCAUGCCGCGUGGAUGAUGAAGGUCUUAGGAUUGUAAAAUCCUUUCAGCGGGGACGAUAAUGACGGUACCCGCAGAAGAAGCCCCGGCUAACUUCGUGCCAGCAGCCGCGGUAAUACGAAGGGGGCUAGCGUUGCUCGGAAUUACUGGGCGUAAAGGGCGCGUAGGCGGACAGUUAAGUCGGGGGUGAAAGCCCGGGGCUCAACCGCGGAAUUGCCUUCGAUACUGGCUGUCUUGAGUGUGAGAGAGGUGUGUGGAACUCCGAGUGUAGAGGUGAAAUUCGUAGAUAUUCGGAAGAACACCAGUGGCGAAGGCGACACACUGGCUCACUACUGACGCUGAGGCGCGAAAGCGUGGGGAGCAAAC
RNAcentral lists this ribosomal RNA (399 nucleotides) under uncultured bacterium. RNAcentral describes it as "bacterial SSU rRNA". It matches the Rfam family "Bacterial small subunit ribosomal RNA", at positions 357 to 773 of the family's 1533-position model. The record is from RNAcentral.